Populus nigra (black poplar) is the source of this 2947-nucleotide RNA transcript. It is a transcript of the gene named auxin response factor 1-like, with no coding region annotated. Lineage: Eukaryota; Viridiplantae; Streptophyta; Magnoliopsida; Malpighiales; Salicaceae. The transcript is spliced from 16 exons. The record is from RefSeq and is a predicted model, not a curated record.
AGCCAAGUCGUGUCGGCUUCGACGAGACAUUGACGAUAUAACACACAAGCACUUGUUCUUAUACUAUGUAAUCUACCUUCUACCUAUAUUUUGCUUCCUCGAUCCAAUCGAUUCUUCUUCUUGAUUCAUCCUUUCCUCUCUUGAAGCUAGCCCCAACCUUCUUUUUUACUACUUUCUAUUCCCGGGUCCUUCUUGUCUGACUCAAGAACAAGGGGUUUGUGUGGUUUUCUUAUGGCAUUUGCGGCUAUGAAUCAUACCUCCGGAGGAAAUUCCCAUGCAGGGGGAUGCAAUGAUGCUCUGUACAAAGAACUAUGGCAUGCCUGUGCUGGACCUCUUGUCACUCUUCCUCGUGAAGGGGAGCUAGUUUAUUAUUUUCCACAAGGUCACAUGGAACAGCUUGAAGCUUCAACGCAUCAGGGGAUGGAGCCGCAAAUGCCAUUGUUUAAUCUUCCAUCUAAAAUACUGUGUAAAGUAGUUAAUGUUCAGCGCAGGGCUGAACCCGAAACAGAUGAAGUUUAUGCCCAGAUAACACUACUUCCUGAACCAGAUCAAAGCGAGGUUACUAGUCCUGAUCCUCCACUCCCAGAACCUGAAAGAUGCACAGUCCAUUCAUUUUGCAAGACACUUACUGCUUCUGACACAAGCACUCAUGGUGGUUUCUCUGUUCUUCGAAGGCAUGCAGAUGAUUGUCUGCCUCCUUUGGAUAUGUCUCAGCAGCCACCCUGGCAGGAAUUGGUUGCAACUGAUCUGCAUGGCAAUGAAUGGCAUUUUCGACACAUUUUUCGAGGCCAACCAAGGCGUCACUUGCUCACGACAGGUUGGAGUGUCUUUGUUAGCUCCAAAAAGUUAGUUGCGGGUGAUGCAUUCAUCUUCCUCAGAGGAGAAAAUGGUGAGCUUCGUGUGGGAGUAAGGAGGCUGAUGAGGCAACAGAUGAACAUGCCAUCUUCUGUUAUAUCUAGCCAAAGCAUGCAUCUAGGGGUUCUUGCUACUGCUUCUCAUGCCAUUGCAACUGGAACCCUUUUUUCCGUCUUCUAUAAGCCAAGAACAAGUCGAUCUGAGUUCAUUGUAAGUCUUAACAAGUAUCUUGAAGUUCGAAACCACAAGCUUUCUGUAGGGAUGAGGUUUAAGAUGAGAUUUGAGGGCGAGGAAGUUCCUGAACGAAGGUUUAGUGGUACCAUUGUCGGCGUUGGAGAUAAUAUAUCAUCAGGAUGGGCUGAUUCUGAUUGGAGGUCCUUGAAGGUCCAGUGGGAUGAACCCUCAUCCAUCAUGCGUCCAGAGAGGGUAUCACACUGGGAAUUGGAACCGCUUGUUGCAACUACUCCUUCAAACUCCCAACCUGUGCAAAGGAACAAACGGGCACGACCAUACGUCAUACCCUCACCAACUGCAGAUCUUUCUGCACUAGGUAUGUGGAAAUCCCCUGUUGAGUCCUCUGCUUUAUCAUAUGGUGAUUCACAACGCGGACGAGACCUUUAUUCAUCACCCAAUUUCUCUACCACUGCUAAGGUCAAUUCUCUUGGCUUCCGAGGCAAUGGUCAAGUGGCUAGUGUUUCCCAUAACUCAAUGCAUUGGCCUAAUCGAGUGGAAAGUGUCACAGACUCUUUUGCUCCAGUUGUAAACAAAGAUUCUGGGGAAAGGAGACAGGGCACUGGAAUUGGCUACAAACUGUUUGGGAUUCAACUUGUUGAGAAUUCCAACACAGAAGGAACUUCACCAGUCGUUGUGUCUGGAACGGUGGUUGAUGAUCACCCAGUUCUGUCUUUGGAAGCCGAGUCUGAUCAGCAUUCCGAGCCUGAGAAAUCAUGUUUGAGAUCUUCCCAAGAGUUGCAAAGUAGGCAAAUUAGGAGUUGCACAAAGGUUCACAUGCAAGGGGUUGCUGUUGGAAGAGCUGUUGAUUUGACACAGUUUAAACGCUACGAAGAUCUGCUGAGGAAACUAGAGGAAAUGUUUGAUAUUGAAGGUGAGCUCAGUGGAUCCGCAAAGAAAUGGCAGGUUGUCUACACUGAUAAUGAAGAUGACAUGAUGAAGGUUGGGGAUGAUCCAUGGAAUGAAUUCUGUGGCAUGGUGAAGAAGAUUUUCAUCUAUACAUCUGAAGAAGUGAAGAGGCUGUCGCCCAAGAUUAAACUUCUAGCCGAAGAAGAGGUCAAAGGAAUUGGCGACAAUGCUGAUGCAGCUGUUAACACAGAGGACCGCUCAUCCACUAUUGGACCUGGAUGCUGAUACUUCAAUAUGCUUGUGUUUUGCUAUAAAUGGCUGGAAUGGAAAUAUAAAAAGGAAUGAUGAAGAGAGAACUCAGCAGUCAAGGCUUUAUUUAUUGCAGCGUUACAAGGAAUAGCCAGUGCAGUUUCUAGACACGCAGCACUAAAAUUAUGUAGAGACAUCAGGACCAGGAGGAUAUGAUAAAAGCAGUGAAGAAGCUCAAGAAGUUGUGGUCAAGAAAGAAGUAAAGGAAGAAGACCCAUCAGUAUCACGAAUCCUUUUACCACCAUCAACCCUCAUGUCAUUGUUGUUGCUCAUACCCAACUACACCAGCUCAACCCUCAGCUCCAACAACGCCACCGUGGCUCGAGCCUUAACUGACCUAUGAGGCCAUUUCUGCCCAUGGGGCUGGGGUGCAGCCCUUGCCAGAGCUGGCCUAUCCAAGUCAAAUCCGAGUCCCAUCACAAAAAAUCGUUACAGAAGCAAGUCCCGUGUAUCCUACCUACAACAUUGUCAUCGUAUCAGCAAUAUCUAGUUCCAAAUCAUGUUUAUGGGGGGUGCCUGUUGAGCAGAAGCCUAUAAGAGAUAAGUCAGCUAAAUUUUUCGGAUGUGUUGUCAACUUUGGUGCCACCACAACUCGUUGCUUCUGUCCAUGUUUUCGCAUUCGCGAAGCAAGUGAGAUUGUAGUGGCUUGAAAGCCUGUAAAAGAUCCACCAUUCAUUCAAUUUUCUUAGUUUUACUUUGGUCU